AUGUAUUUUAUUACUGUUUGAAUGUAUUUUAAACGUAUUUUAUUUUAUUUUGAUAGUUAAUCGAUGAAGUGGAUCAGAGUUUUCUGGAAAAUCCUAUGGAUCUACCCUUGUAUUAUCAAGUGGGUUCCGGAUUUGAGACUUCUCCGUCAUCAGCUCGUGGGUCUGUUUUUAUGGCUGGUUCCGAUGAACGUUCGAUCGAUGAGGCGAUUGUUCUCACUGAAAAGUCUCGUCGACGGAACCAUAAAUAUCAGGCCGAGGAAACUACCUUCCAAGCUGGUAUAGAUAUGGAACGGCUACCUCAAGGCGUGCAAAACAUCCCGAUGGUCUGAAUUCCGGACACCGUCAGAGAAUUGUUUGAACAACUUAUUCGCCGUACAGCAGCUGAUUUAAAUCCAUCGGACCUCAUCCGAUUUUACAUUCAAGCUGAAGGGUUGGACAAACCGAUCAGCACUUCUCUGAUGGCAGUUUCGACAUUAACGGUCGAAAAGAUUCUGGCUGCAGUCAUGAAAGUACUGCAGUCCAAAGACAAAAUCGAGCUGGAUACAGGGUUCGCAGUGGACGUGAUCACUAUCAGAAGACCUGUGGGUGCCGGACGAAAUAGGAAAGUGAUUAAUAUCUCAGUGGAUAGGCUCAGUAAAAAGUCUAUUUUGUCCAUUCCCUAUGACGAUGAAGGACUGUGCUGUGCCAAAGCAUUGUGUAUGCUUUGGCACAUCUGAAUGAGGACAAAGCUGCUAUUAAAGCCAUGAAAGAUCAUCGUCGACCAGCCCUCGUGAAGCGAGCAAGAGAGCUCCAUAUGGUUGCGAAUGUUCCUUUAGGCCCCUGCACGUUUGCGGAUAUAGCCAUAUUUGAAGAUCACCUGCACGUCCAAAUUGCCGUCUUUUCUUCGGAAAACUUGAACAGAGUGGUCUACAAAGGAAGGGAGAGGGCCCAACGGAUCAAUUUAUGGCUUCACGAUGGGCACUACGAUGUCAUUAAAUCUUUGAAAGGAUUAUUUGGCAGCGACCAUUACUGCACUGUCUGUGAAAAGGCCUACCAGCGUAUAGAAGAACAUCGAUGCGCCAAUGCCUGUCCCAUAUGUUUAAGAACCGACUGCUUUCCAGGGCAGCCCCAGCGAUGCCAGGAUUGUGACCGUCUCUGCCGAUCGGAUGCCUGUUAUGCAGCACACAAAGCUCUCACUGGAAACCAGGAGUUUUCACUUUGCGAUCGGGUAAGUAUUUUGCUAUGUAAAUGAAUGUAAUUAUUGAUCGUGUAAAUUUUUAAGAAAUCGUUUAAAUACCUCUUUAAUUGUCGUUACA
Molecule: long non-coding RNA, 1295 nt
Organism: Stegodyphus dumicola
Lineage: Eukaryota; Metazoa; Arthropoda; Arachnida; Araneae; Eresidae
Source: RefSeq, a predicted model, not a curated record